AGUGAACGCUGGCGGUAGGCCUAACACAUGCAAGUCGAACGGCAGCACAGUAAGAGCUUGCUCUUACGGGUGGCGAGUGGCGGACGGGUGAGGAAUACAUCGGUAUCUACUUUUUCGUGGGGGAUAACGUAGGGACACUUACGCUAAUACUGCAUACGACCUACGGGUGAAAGCAGGGGAUCUUCGGACCUUGCGCGAUUGUAUGAGCCGAUGUCGGAUUAGCUAGUUGGCGGGGUAAAGGCCCACCAAGGCGACGAUCCGUAGCUGGUCUGAGAGGAUGAUCAGCCACACUGGAACUGAGACACGGUCCAGACUCCUACGGGAGGCAGCAGUGGGGAAUAUUGGACAAUGGGCGCAAGCCUGAUCCAGCCAUACCGCGUGGGUGAAGAAGGUCUUCGGGUUGUAAAGCCCUUUUGUUGGGAAAGAAAAGCAGCAGGUUAAUACCCCGCUGUUCUGACGUUACCCAAAGAAUAAGCACCGGCUAACUUCGUG
Molecule: ribosomal RNA, 492 nt
Filed under: uncultured bacterium
Lineage: Bacteria
Description: partial 16S ribosomal RNA
Rfam family: Bacterial small subunit ribosomal RNA
Source: RNAcentral